GAAAGCCCUUCUGGAUGCCAGUGAGAGCAACUGUCCUUUUAAGCUGGCUUAGCAGUACCUCUCAGGUGCUCCAACAGUUUUCCAAAGAAAAUAGACCAAAACUUUCUUCUUGAGAAGAAACCAACCUGCUGUUGGCAAAGGGUAUUUCUCACCUCUCUGUGAAAAGAAGACAGACAACACCAGAGCCUGGGCGCCCCAGCUGCUGAGGGAAGUUUCCACGGUGAAGUCCUGAGGAGGCUUCCUGGGAGCCGAGCAUAGUGAAUGCUGCGCCGGCUAGUGUUCUAGUCGUCAGCUCUCGUGUACCCCUUACCCAGCCAGCUGAAGCGGGGCUAGUACUACUUAAAACACCUCUGAAGUUCCUGACGUCCUCCGUGAGGUACAGCACAUUCUUGCUCAGAUGCAGGGGAGAGCGUGGUCUGGUUAUGGAAAAGCUUGGGAUGGCUGGGGAUGUCAUUCAGCUGGCAGAAGACUUGCCUAGCGCGUGCAGAGCCCUGGGUUCCAUGCCCAGCAAUACGGAAAGCCUGACAGGGUGACAGGCACCUGUAAUCCCAGCUGUGAAAGUAGAAGCAGGAGG
RNAcentral lists this long non-coding RNA (574 nucleotides) under Meriones unguiculatus (Mongolian gerbil). Its description in RNAcentral is "lncRNA (ENSMUGG00000013063.1)". The record is from RNAcentral. Lineage: Eukaryota; Metazoa; Chordata; Mammalia; Rodentia; Muridae.